This 592-nucleotide ribosomal RNA is filed under the name uncultured marine eukaryote. Its description in RNAcentral is "bacterial SSU rRNA". It matches the Rfam family "Eukaryotic small subunit ribosomal RNA", at positions 621 to 1220 of the family's 1831-position model. The record is from RNAcentral.
AAAAAGCUCGUAGUUGGAUUUCGGAACCGGCCGAUUGGUCCGUCCUUUGGAUCGUGUACUGAUCGGUCUGUUCUUCUUCGCGAAGACCGCGUGUGCCCUUAACUGGGUGGGCGCGGGAUUCGCGACGUUUACUUUGAAAAAAUUAGAGUGUUCAAAGCAGGCAGUCGCUUGAAUAUCUCAGCAUGGAAUAAUAGAAUAGGACUUUGGUCUAUUUUGUUGGUUUCCGAGACCGAAGUAAUGAUUAAUAGGGACAGUUGGGGGCAUUCGUAUUUCAUUGUCAGAGGUGAAAUUCUUGGAUUUAUGAAAGACGAACUUCUGCGAAAGCAUUUGCCAAGGAUGUUUUCAUUAAUCAAGAACGAAAGUUAGAGGUUCGAAGGCGAUUAGAUACCGCCCUAGUUCUAACCAUAAACGAUGCCAGCUAGCGAUCUGCCUGCGUUUUUACUGUAGACUGGGCAGGAAGCUUCCGGGAAACCAAAGCAUUUGGGUUCCAGGGGAAGUAUGGUUGCAAAGCUGAAACUUAAAGGAAUUGACGGAAGGGCACCACCAGGAGUGGAGCCUGUGGCUUAAUUUGACUCAACACGGGAAAUCUCCA